Drosophila nasuta is the source of this 482-nucleotide long non-coding RNA. RefSeq lists it as uncharacterized. NCBI's taxonomy places the organism in Eukaryota, Metazoa, Arthropoda, Insecta, Diptera, Drosophilidae. The record is from RefSeq and is a predicted model, not a curated record. The transcript has 3 exons.
UUCGAAUUUGAUAGGAAAGCGAGCUAAGUGAAAUGAUUUACACUUGAUGAAUUCGUUUAAUCGCAAAGGCGACAAAAUUGCGGAAAUUGCGGUAACGGAAAUGCGAGUGCAAAAGCUUUAAAGAUUAUGCAAUAAAAGGAGACCAAAGAACUAGAUGAACGAUUGGCGAUUGUCCGCGACUUCGAGAAUAACACCCGCACCCAACUUAUACACAGUCAGACAAACAGACAGACAAAGGGGCCAAUUACAGGGUUGCUAAGCGGAUUUGGAACUCACAGCCAGCUGGCUCGAAUUGAAGAGUAUGGUAAUCAUGGCAAUUGCUUGCUUGGAUUGAUAGUAGUUUGUAUGCAAGUAAAUAUCUGCAAUUGACUUAAGCUGCUUAACUUAAAUUCCCACCUUUAACGGAUUUACUUUAUUCGAAUGAAUCGUUAAACCAUUGCAACUCAAUAUAAGAAGUAAGCUGACCCAGCGGAAUGAUGACC